UAGGGAAUAUUAGUAAUGGGCGAAAGCCUGAACUAGCAACGCCGCAUGUGCGAAGAAGGCCUUCGGGUUGUAAAGCACUUUUUGAGAGGAUGGGGAAGGACGGUACUCUCAGAAUAAGUCUCGGCUAACUACGUGCCAGCAGCCGCGGUAACACGUAGGAGGCGAACGUUAUCCGGAUUUACUGGGCGUAAAGCGCGUGUAGGUGGUUUGGUAAGUAGGGCGUGAAAGCUCCUGGCUCAACUGGGAGAGGCCGUUCUAAACUGCCGAACUAGAGGAUGGUAGAGGGAGGUGGAAUUCCGGGUGUAGCGGUGGAAUGCGCAGAUAUCCGGAGGAACACCAGUGGCGAAAGCGGCCUCCUGGACCAUUCCUGACACUCAGACGCGAAAGCUAGGGUAGCAAGCGG
RNAcentral lists this ribosomal RNA (403 nucleotides) under uncultured bacterium. RNAcentral describes it as "bacterial SSU rRNA". It matches the Rfam family "Bacterial small subunit ribosomal RNA", at positions 355 to 775 of the family's 1533-position model. The record is from RNAcentral.